AUCUGAAAUCAGGUAGGAUUACCC
Molecule: ribosomal RNA, 24 nt
Filed under: Mucor bainieri
Lineage: Eukaryota; Fungi; Mucoromycota; Mucoromycetes; Mucorales; Mucoraceae
Also listed under: 1 other name
Description: partial 28S ribosomal RNA
Source: RNAcentral